RNAcentral lists this ribosomal RNA (486 nucleotides) under uncultured bacterium. RNAcentral's name for it is "partial 16S ribosomal RNA". It matches the Rfam family "Bacterial small subunit ribosomal RNA", at positions 28 to 507 of the family's 1533-position model. The record is from RNAcentral.
GAUGAACGCUGGCGGCGUGCCUAAUACAUGCAAGUCGAACGCUGGAGAUCUAGCUUGCUAGAUCGAAGGAGUGGCGAACGGGUGAGUAAUACAUAAGCAACCUACCCACGAAGACUGGGAUAAUCUCUGGAAACGGGGACUAAUACCGGGUAGGUAAUCGGAAGGCAUCUUCUGGUUAUUAAAGGUUAAAAACACUGGUGGAUGGGCUUAUGGCGCAUUAGUUAGUUGGUGAGGUAACGGCCCACCAAGACGAUGAUGCGUAGCCGGCCUGGGAGGGUGAACGGCCACAUUGGGACUGAGACACGGCCCAGACUCCUACGGGAGGCAGCAGUAGGGAAUUUUCGGCAAUGGGGGCAACCCUGACCGAGCAACGCCGCGUGAGUGAAGACGGCCUUCGGGUUGUAAAGCUCUGUUGUAAGGGAAGAACGGUAGAUAGAGAAUAUCUAAGUGACGGUACCUUACCAGAAAGCCACGGCUAACUACGUG